Molecule: RNA transcript, 3930 nt
Organism: Astyanax mexicanus (Mexican tetra)
Lineage: Eukaryota; Metazoa; Chordata; Actinopteri; Characiformes; Acestrorhamphidae
Gene: erc1a
Gene name: ELKS/RAB6-interacting/CAST family member 1a
Exons: 19
Source: RefSeq, a predicted model, not a curated record
CUCAUCCUUGCGAGACGAAAUUACGGUGAAUGAAAUGACUGUGUAGCUCACGACGAGGGUAAAUCACGUCGAGCGUUUAUUUGUGUUUGAUUGUGCUCGUGUUAAACCGCGGAGAGUGUGUAUGAGAGCUGUGCGAUGAUGGAGAAGGGCAGGGGGGAUGCUCGCUAACCCAUUGCAGCUAGGCUGUCUGCCUGCCUUCAGUCCGAGGCGCAAUAAAGGCGAGAUCUGGCAGUAGAGGUUGGGGGAAAAUGUCACUGACCGCCUUGUUGGCUAUUUAAAAAAGAACAACCGGGAACUGUCACAAUAAGUGGUCCACGUUAGCUUUGGCACAUCACAGACAACUUGCCCUCACCCUGGUGGAGAUCCUAGUGUGAAGAGCAAAAGCAAGAGGCACGCCUUAACAUCAGUAAAGGAUGAUGGUUUGUUAAUGACAGCUGGGCUGUUAGUCGUGUUAUCGGUCUCUGCUUGCUGUGCUGCUUGAAGCCUGUCAAAAUGUACGGCAGCUCCCGCUCGGUGAGCAAAAUGGAUGGCAAUCACGGCAGCAGCCGGGCCAAUCAAGGCAACUCAGGCCGAUCCCCAAGAUUGCCUCGCUCCCCUCGCAUGGGCCACCGCCGCACCAACAGCAUGGGGGGCAGUGGUGGUGGACCCGGAGGCUCUGGAGGUAAGACCCUCUCCAUGGAGAACAUCCAGUCUCUCAAUGCUGCCUACGCUACGUCUGGCCCCAUGUACAUGAGUGACAACGAGGUGGCUCUUGCCACUUCUUCUGACAUCCCCAAGAGUGGAGCUGCCACUGGACGCUUCGGGGGCAGCAUCCCUUAUGGCGUCCGCGGGACUGUCAUGGGCAGCACUCCGGACAUGGCCAUGGUGCCGGCAGUGUCCACUGACUCCAUGGGCUUUGGGAGUGAGCUCCACAGUGCCUCCACUGUCCCACACUCCCUGCGCCAAGCCCGGGACAACACCAUAAUGGAGCUCCAGGCUCAGCUGAAAGAGGUUCUGAGAGAAAAUGAGCUUCUGCGCAAAGAGGUGGAGGUGAAGGAAAGCAAGCUCAGCUCCUCCAUGAGCUCCAUCAAGACCUUCUGGAGCCCUGAGUUGAAGAAGGAGAGAGCACUGCGCAAGGACGAGGGCUCAAAGGUGGCCGUGUGGAAGGAACAAUAUCGUGCUGUGCAGGAGGAGACUCAGCACCUGCAGACCACGGUGCAGGCCCUGCAGGCCGAGCUGCGCAUCCAGCGGGACCUGAACCAGCUGCUUCAGCCACCAGGUGAGCCACUGGCAUGUGAGCCGGGCGAGGAGCAGGAGCGACAGGCACGGGAGCUCUUCCUGCUGCGCCGCACCCUGGAGGAGAUGGAGCUGCGUCUGGAGACCCAGCGGCAGACACUGGCUGCCCGGGACGACUCAGUCAAGAAGCUGCUGGAGAUGCUGCACAGCAAAGGGCCAUCAACCAAGGCCAGUGAGGAGGACCACGAGCUCACUUGUCGCCUGGCCGAUGCAGAGAUGCACGCACAUCACCUAGAGAACCUGCUGGAGCAGCGCGAUAAGGAGAUGGUGGCUUUGCGAGAAGAGCUGCAUCGCCGCCUUGAAGGGACGCCAGAGUCUACAAAAACCAAAGCUCUGCAAACCGUCAUCGAGAUGAAGGACUCUCAGAUUGGUUCUCUGGAGCGGGGUCUGAGGGAGCUGGAGGACCAGGUCAUGAUGCUGCGUUCCAGUAGCAUGCUCAGCUGUGAGGAGCGACAAGAGGAGGUCAAACAAAUGGAAGUCUACCGCAACCACACCAAGUUUAUGAAGAAUAAGAUGGACCAGGUGAAACAGGACCUGUCCAGGAAGGACACCCAGCUCCUCGGCCUGCAGACCAAACUAGAGACCCUGACCAACCAGUUCUCUGAUAGCAAGCAGCACAUUGAGGUGCUAAAAGAGUCCCUGACUGCCAAAGAGCAGCGUGCUGCCAUCUUACAGACAGAGGUGGAUGCACUGAGGUUGCGUCUCGAGGAGAAGGAGACACUGCUGAAUAAGAAGAGCAAGCAGAUCCAGGAUAUGUCUGAAGAGAAAAGCACCCUCAAUGGAGAGAUCCACGACCUCAAGGACAUGCUGGACGUUAAAGAGCGCAAAAUCAACGUGCUACAGAAAAAGAUUGAGAACCUCCAGGAACAGUUGCGGGACAAAGAGAAGCAGAUGGGCAGCCUGAGGGAACGAGUGAAGUCUUUACAGACUGACACCUCUAACACAGACACAGUUCUUACCACCCUGGAGGAUUCACUGGCCGAGAAGGAGCGCAUCAUUGAGCGUCUGAAAGAGCAGCGUGAUCGUGAGGAGAGGGAGAAGGUGGAGGAGCUGGACAGCAGCAAGAAGGAGCUGAAGGAGCUGAAGGAAAAAGUGAGCUUACUGCAGGGAGACCUCUCAGAGCGAGAGACUUCUCUUCUGGACCUCAAGGAGCAUGCAUCUUCACUAGCCUCAUCUGGGCUAAAGAAAGACUCCAAACUGAAGACUCUGGAGAUUGCCCUUGAGCAAAGGAGGGAAGAGUGCUCUAAGCUGGAGACCCAGCUGAAGAGGGCCCAAAACGCAGCGGUAGAAGCCCAGGCCAACUCCGAGCUCUCGGAUCGCAUUUCCUCGCUGGAGUCUGAUGUGUCCAGGCACAGAGAGGAGUCUGGGAAGGCCCAGGCUGAAGUAGACCGCCUGCUGGAUAUCCUGCGCCAGAUGGAGAACGAGAAGAAUGAGAAGGACAGGAAAAUCAAUGAGCUUGAGAGUGUGGCUUCAAGGCAGAUGAAGGAGCAGGUUAAGAAGCCCUCCGCAAAGCACAGGGAGCCGGCAGGGAAGGGCCGAAACAGCAGCGAUGCCCCACAACAGUCUCAGGAGUCUCUGCGGCAGAAAGCGGAGCGAAUUGAGGAGCUGGAGGAGGCGCUGAGAGAGAGUGUGCAGAUGACUGCUGAGAGGGAGAUGGUGCUGGCACAGGAGGAGGCAGCACGCACCCACCAGGAGAAACAAAUGGAGGAGCUGCUUGGAGCGAUGGAGAAAGUAAAGCAGGAACUCGAGUCCAUGAAGGCUAAGAUGUCGUCCACGCAGCAGUCUCUGGCCGAGAAGGAGGCCCAUCUGACCACGCUGAGGGCCGAGAGGAGGAGGCACCUGGAGGAGGUGCUUGAGAUGAAACAGGAGGCUCUGCUGGCUGCUAUCAGUGAGAAGGAUGCUAAUAUCGCCCUGCUGGAGCUAUCCUCCUCAAAAAAAAAGAAGACGCAAGAGGAAGUGGCACAGCUGCGCAGGGAGAAGGACCGUCUGGUGCAGCAGCUCAAACAGCAGACACAGAACCGGAUGAAGCUCAUGGCGGAUAAUUACGAUGAUAGCCACUUGAAAACUCCACCUGACCAGACCAACCACAAACCUCCGAAAUCUCCCGAUCAGAUUAAACCUGGGCGGAGAGCUACAGUGCACAGGAGCUCCACAUUAGCCAAAUGAUCAUCCCGUACAACCAGAGAAGAUUCCACCCACCUCCAUCCAUUUCUGUAGAACACCCUGCCCAUAGAUUCACCACACCACGGACCAAGGACCCUCAGAUGGCGCCCAAACACCAACACAUUUUGCCUGAUCCUGGGUUGGUGAGAGUCAGACUGAUGCUGUGACCGUAUCCUGGACUCUUCUUUAGACCAGCAGUGAAUGGGCCUGUCUUACAGGAUCCACCGGCCGUGAUCUGACCCUCCUCUCUCCAGCUUCAUCACUCUCUCUGUUCUCUGUUCUCCUCUCUGCUCUUUUAAAACCGUCUAAAUCCCCAAUCCUUCUCCUGGUCUUCAAAGCCCUAGUCAAGACAUUUUAUAUUGAAAUAAGUUAUAUGUAAAUGAAUUGACAUCAAACUACUCAACUCAUUAUACCUGUAAAUACAAUAGAUACAAGUAGUUUGGUGAAAAAAAGAGCUCAGAAUCGCCUCCAAGAUAAAAAAAAUAAUAAUAA